UAUUCCCCACUGCUGCCUCCCGUAGGAGUCUGGGCCGUAUCUCAGUCCCAAUGUGGCCGUUCAACCUCUCAGUCCGGCUACUGAUCGUCGCCUUGGUGGGCCGUUACCUCACCAACUAGCUAAUCAGACGCGAGGCCAUCUUUCAGCGAUAAAUCUUUGACAUUAAGGCCAUGCGACCUCAAUGUGUCAUGCGGUAUUAGCAGUCGUUUCCAACUGUUGUCCCCCUCUGAAAGGCAGGUUCCUCACGCGUUACUCACCCGUCCGCCACUGUCCUCUGCUUCUAUUGGACGAAUCCUCUUUCCGCAGAUUCUCGUUCGACUUGCAUGUGUUAAGCACGCCGCCAGCGUUCAUCCUGAGCCA
This 360-nucleotide ribosomal RNA is filed under the name uncultured rumen bacterium. RNAcentral's name for it is "partial 16S ribosomal RNA". The record is from RNAcentral.